This is a non-coding RNA of Schistosoma rodhaini, 48 nucleotides long. Lineage: Eukaryota; Metazoa; Platyhelminthes; Trematoda; Strigeidida; Schistosomatidae. The record is from Rfam.
AUUCAGCUGACGAGUCCCAAAUAGGACGAAACGCGCGCCAAGCUGGAU